Molecule: ribosomal RNA, 123 nt
Filed under: uncultured archaeon
Lineage: Archaea
Description: partial 16S ribosomal RNA
Rfam family: Archaeal small subunit ribosomal RNA
Source: RNAcentral
UCCCUACGGGGUGCACCAGGCGCGAAACCUCCGCAAUGCACGCAAGUGCGACGGGGGGACCCCAAGUGCCACUCUUAACGGGGUGGCUUUUUUGGAGUGUAAAAAGCUCUAAGAAUAGUAUCC